CCUACGGGUGGCAGCAGUGAGGAAUAUUGGUCAAUGGACGGAAGUCUGAACCAGCCAUGCCGCGUGCAGGAAGACGGCCCUAUGAGUUGUAAACUGCUUUUGUACAAGGGUAAACCUGAAUACGUGUAUUUAGCUGAAAGUACUGUACGAAUAAGGAUAGGCUAACUCCGUGCCAGCAGCCGCGGUAAUACGGAGGAUCCAAGCGUUAUCCGGAUUUAUUGGGUUUAAAGGGUGCGUAGGCGGAUUGCUAAGUUAGAGGUGAAAUGUCCGAGCUUAACGGGGUGAAGUGCCAUUGAUACUGCCUUGCUGGAAUGCGGAUGCCGUGGGAGGAAUGUGUGGUGUAGCGGUGAAAUGCAUAGAUAUCACACAGAACACCGAUUGCGAAGGCGUCUCACGAGUCCGCGAUUGACGCUGAUGCACGAAAGCGUGGGUAUCAAACAGGAUUAGAUACCCGUGUAGUC
This 461-nucleotide ribosomal RNA is filed under the name uncultured bacterium. RNAcentral describes it as "partial 16S ribosomal RNA". It matches the Rfam family "Bacterial small subunit ribosomal RNA", at positions 338 to 795 of the family's 1533-position model. The record is from RNAcentral.